AGUGAACGCUGGCGGUAGGCCUAACACAUGCAAGUCGAACGGCAGCACAGGAGAGCUUGCUCUCUAGGUGGCGAGUGGCGGACGGGUGAGGAAUACAUCGGAAUCUGCCCAGUCGUGGGGGAUAACGUAGGGAAACUUACGCUAAUACCGCAUACGACCUUCGGGUGAAAGAGGGGGAUCGCAAGACCUCUCGCGAUUGGAUGAGCCGAUGUCGGAUUAGCUAGUUAGCGGGGUAAUGGCCCACCAAGGCGACGAUCCGUAGCUGGUCUGAGAGGAUGAUCAGCCACACUGGAACUGAGACACGGUCCAGACUCCUACGGGAGGCGGCAGUGGGGAAUAUUGGACAAUGGGCGCAAGCCUGAUCCAGCCAUACCGCGUGGGUGAAGAAGGCCUUCGGGUUGUAAAGCCCUUUUGUUGGGAAAGAAAUCUUUCAGGCUAAUACCCUGGGAGGAUGACGGUACCCAAAGAAUAAGCACCGGCUAACUUCGUG
This 490-nucleotide ribosomal RNA is filed under the name uncultured bacterium. RNAcentral's name for it is "partial 16S ribosomal RNA". It matches the Rfam family "Bacterial small subunit ribosomal RNA", at positions 29 to 507 of the family's 1533-position model. The record is from RNAcentral.